RNA transcript from Panicum hallii, 1748 nucleotides. It is a transcript of the gene named probable amidase At4g34880, with no coding region annotated. The transcript is spliced from 6 exons. The record is from RefSeq and is a predicted model, not a curated record. NCBI's taxonomy places the organism in Eukaryota, Viridiplantae, Streptophyta, Magnoliopsida, Poales, Poaceae.
CUGCACUGAGAGUGCAGCAGCACUGAGCUACCUGGACAUAGCAUGGCUCAGCCGCGGCUCCAGGUGCUCGCCGCCGCCGUGGCCCUGACCCUGGCGCUGGUGGCCGGCGGCGGCGGCGCGUUCGAGUUCCAGGAGGCCACCGUGGACGCCAUUCAGCUGGGGUUCAGGAACGGCAGCCUCACCUCGGCGGCGCUCGUCCGGUUCUACCUGGACCGGAUCGCCCGCCUCAACCCGCUACUCCGCGCCGUCAUCGAGGUCAACCCGGACACGCUCGCGCAGGCGGCGCGCGCCGACGCCGAGCGCUCGGCAUCGGGGGGCCGCUGCGCCGCGGGGCUGCACGGCGUCCCCGUCCUGCUCAAGGACAACAUCGCCACGCGCGACCGCCUCAACACCACGGCCGGCUCCCUCGCGCUGCUCGGCUCCGUGGUCCGCCGCGACGCCGGCGUGGCAGCCCGCCUCCGCCGCGCCGGCGCCGUCAUCCUCGGCAAGGCCAACCCCACCGAGUGGUCCAACUUCCGCCAAGUCGAUCCCGGCUGGAGCGCCCGCGGCGGCCAGACCCAGAAUCCGUACGUCCUGUCGGUGACACCGUGCGGGUCGAGCGCCGGGCCUGGCGUCGCCGCUGCGGCGAACAUGGCUGCCGUGACGCUGGGAUCGGAGACGGCCGGCUCCAUAAUCUGCCCGUCGGUGCUCAACUCCGUGGUUGGGAUCAAACCAACAGUUGGGCUGACCAGCCGGUCAGGCGUCAUCCCGAUCACGCCCAGGCAAGACACCAUAGGGCCAAUGUGUCGUACAGUAUCCGAUGCCGUCCAUGUCCUGGACGCCAUUGUCGGCUAUGAUGAGCUUGACGCUGAAGCGACUGGAGCAGCUUCCAAGUACAUCCCGCAUGGUGGUUACAGGCAGUUCCUGAGGAUCGACGGACUAAGGGGCAAGAGGAUUGGUGUCCUCAGGGGUUUCUUUGAGCAGUAUGCUCCUGAGCCCCGGAGGGUCUACGAGAAGCAUCUCAGCACAAUGAGGCAUCACGGCGCCAUCCUGAUAAAGGAUCUUGACCUCGCAGGGAAUUGGACCGAUCUCGGGGACCAAAUGGGCCUUCUGAUGAAUGCAGAGUUCAAGUUGAGCCUGAAUGCUUAUCUGAAGGACCUGCUGUACUCUCCGGUCCGCUCCCUCGCACAAGUCAUAGCAUUCAACAAUGCACAUCCAAAAGAGGAGAGGCUUAAAGAUUUUGGGCAGGCCGAUCUCAUUGCGGCCGAGAAGACCACCGGCAUCGGCGCAGCGGAGAGAGCUGCUCUCCGGCGGCUCAACGAGCUGUCCACGGGUGGCCUGGAGAAGACGGUGAAAGAGCACCGGCUGGACGCCGUCGUGGUGGCCAACAACGACAUCUCCGCCGUCCUCGCCAUCGGCGGUUGUCCCGGCAUCGCCGUGCCGGCCGGGUACAGCGAGGAGGGAGUCCCCUUCGGGAUAGUCUUCGGCGGGCUCAGGGGCUACGAGCCGAGGCUGAUCGAGAUGGCCUACGCGUUCGAGCAGGCUACCAAAGUCAGAAGGCCGCCUGCUUUCAGGCAUUAGCCUAGCCAGUAGUUGGUACUCUGCAUGGUAAUAAUCGGCCGCAUUCUUAAGUGAUGACCGAUGACCUAUGGAAGUUCAGAUCGUGCAUAUUGUUGGUGGUGGAUUCAUAUAGGGGUUAUUCGGAAUUGGGAUGACGGGUUUUGUGAAGAUUAUUUCCGCCCCUAAAAUCCAGUUCAAGUCCGGUAAAA